RNAcentral lists this non-coding RNA (326 nucleotides) under Candidatus Hodgkinia cicadicola. Lineage: Bacteria; Pseudomonadati; Pseudomonadota; Alphaproteobacteria; Hyphomicrobiales. The record is from RNAcentral.
UGGGGACUUCUGUUGAUGGGCGUCCCCUGACCCCUUGUGCUGACCGCUAGUAGCUUAAGCGCUAACUAUGAUAGCACGCGCUUAAUCAUUAGCUCUAUUUGGAGCUAACGCGUUGGCGUGUGUAACUCACUGUGUCGGUUUUACAUCUUUUUCUAUUUAACGCAUAGGCUUCGGACAAGCGUGGGAGUCUUUACACCGCUGUCUACUUUCUUUGUCACACCCCCCUCCAAAAUAAAAUGUGAUCGUGUUAUGGAGGUGCCGGGAAUUGAACCCGGAUCCAGCGGAUUAUUGCAUUGCCACUUGUUUAUUGUCAUAGCUAAUUUAGC